AGUUAAUGUAGCAAAACCUGGUAUUGCAAAAGCCCUAAACCCUUUCCAUGGGGGUUCAAAUCCCCCUAUUAACU
RNAcentral lists this transfer RNA (74 nucleotides) under Tlalocohyla loquax (mahogany treefrog). RNAcentral's name for it is "tRNA-Leu". It matches the Rfam family "tRNA". Rfam says of the family: Transfer RNA (tRNA) molecules are approximately 80 nucleotides in length. Their secondary structure includes four short double-helical elements and three loops (D, anti-codon, and T loops). Lineage: Eukaryota; Metazoa; Chordata; Amphibia; Anura; Hylidae. The record is from RNAcentral.